Molecule: ribosomal RNA, 497 nt
Filed under: uncultured bacterium
Lineage: Bacteria
Description: partial 16S ribosomal RNA
Rfam family: Bacterial small subunit ribosomal RNA
Source: RNAcentral
GAUGAACGCUGGCGGCGUGCCUAAUACAUGCAAGUCGAGCGAACAGACGAGGAGCUUGCUCCUCUGACGUUAGCGGCGGACGGGUGAGUAACACGUGGAUAACCUACCUAUAAGACUGGGAUAACUUCGGGAAACCGGAGCUAAUACCGGAUAAUAUAUUGAACCGCAUGGUUCAAUAGUGAAAGACGGUUUUGCUGUCACUUAUAGAUGGAUCCGCGCCGCAUUAGCUAGUUGGUAAGGUAACGGCUUACCAAGGCAACGAUGCGUAGCCGACCUGAGAGGGUGAUCGGCCACACUGGAACUGAGACACGGUCCAGACUACUACGGGAGGCAGCAGUAGGGAAUCUUCCGCAAUGGGCGAAAGCCUGACGGAGCAGCGCCGCGUGAGUGAUGAAAGUCUUCGGAUCGUAAAACUCUGUUAUUAGGGAAGAACAAUUGUGUAAGUAACUAUGCACGUCUUGACGGUACCUAAUCAGAAAGCCACGGCUAACUACGUG